Molecule: ribosomal RNA, 435 nt
Filed under: uncultured soil bacterium
Lineage: Bacteria
Description: bacterial SSU rRNA
Rfam family: Bacterial small subunit ribosomal RNA
Source: RNAcentral
AACGCGAAGAACCUUACCAGGCCUUGACAUGUCUAGUAUGGAUCCCAGAGACGGGAUCCUUCAGUUCGGCUGGCUAGAACACAGGUGCUGCAUGGCUGUCGUCAGCUCGUGUCGUGAGAUGUUGGGUUAAGUCCCGCAACGAGCGCAACCCUCGUCCUUAGUUGCCAUCAUUAAGUUGGGAACUCUAAGGAAACUGCCUAUGAUAAGUAGGAGGAAGGUGGGGACGACGUCAAGUCAUCAUGGCCCUUACGGCCUGGGCUACACACGUGCUACAAUGGCGGUGACAAUGGGCAGCAAGCGCGCGAGCGUAAGCUAAUCCCUAAAAGCCGUCUCAGUUCGGAUUGUUCUCUGCAACUCGAGAACAUGAAGCUGGAAUCGCUAGUAAUCGUAGAUCAGCAUGCUACGGUGAAUACGUUCCCGGGUCUUGUACACACC